GGAUGUGAGGGCGAUCUGGCUGUGACAUCUGUCACCCCAUUGAUCGCCAGGGUUGAUUCGGCUGAUCUGGUUGGCUAGGCAGGCGUCCCCUUCCUCCCUCACAGCUCCAUGUGCGUCCCUCCUGUCCCUCCCGAAGUUGUGUGCUUGGUCGAAGAGGACCGCCUUCCCCGAAUAGAGACAAACCGGUCUUCCAUCUAGGUUAUACAAGUAGUUGCGUUCCCCUGCUAGAACCUCCAAACAAGCUCUCAAGGUUCAUUUGAAUAAGAGAAAACCAUAAGGAAUUCAUGUUUGCAUAUUUCCACUCCACUUUGGAAAAAAUAGCCAAAGU
Molecule: non-coding RNA, 328 nt
Organism: Erinaceus europaeus (western European hedgehog)
Lineage: Eukaryota; Metazoa; Chordata; Mammalia; Eulipotyphla; Erinaceidae
Source: Rfam